AUUGAACGCUAGCGGCAUGCCUAACACAUGCAAGUCGAACGGCAGCACGAGGAGCUUGCUCCUUGGUGGCGAGUGGCGGACGGGUGAGUAACGCGUAGGAAUCUACCUUUUAGCGGGGGGACAACCCGGGGGAAACUCGGGCUAAUACCGCAUAAUCUCUACGGAGCAAAGUAGGGGACCCUUCGGGGCCUUACACUAAAAGAUGAGCCUGCGUCGGAUUAGCUAGUUGGUGGGGUAAAGGCCUACCAAGGCAACGAUCCGUAGCUGGUCUGAGAGGACGACCAGCCACACUGGGACUGAGACACGGCCCAGACUCCUACGGGAGGCAG
This 329-nucleotide ribosomal RNA is filed under the name uncultured Pseudomonadota bacterium. Its description in RNAcentral is "bacterial SSU rRNA". It matches the Rfam family "Bacterial small subunit ribosomal RNA", at positions 30 to 351 of the family's 1533-position model. The record is from RNAcentral. Lineage: Bacteria; Pseudomonadati; Pseudomonadota.